This is a long non-coding RNA of Cyanistes caeruleus (blue tit), 2231 nucleotides long. NCBI's taxonomy places the organism in Eukaryota, Metazoa, Chordata, Aves, Passeriformes, Paridae. The record is from Ensembl.
UUUUCCCAUUUUUUCCCCAUUUUUUCCCAUUUUUUCCCAUUUUUCCCCAUUUUUUCCCAUUUUUCCCAUUUUUUCCCAUUUUUCCCCAUUUUUUCCCAUUUUUUCCCAUUUUUCCCCAUUUUUUUCCCAUUUUUCCCCAUUUUUUCCCAUUUUUUCCCCUUUUUUCCCAUUUUUCCCCAUUUUUUCCCAUUUUUUUCCAUUUUUUUCCAUUUUUUCCCAUUUUUCCCAUUUUUUCCCAUUUUUUCCCAUUUUUUCCCAUUUUUCCCCAUUUUUUUCCCAUUUUUUCUCCAUUUUUUCCCCAUUUUUCCCCAUUUUUUUCCCAUUUUUCCCCAUUUUUUCCCAUUUUUCCCCAUUUUUUUCCCAUUUUUCCCCAUUUUUUCCCCUUUUUUUCCAUUUUUCCCAUUUUUCCCCAUUUUUUCCCAUUUUUUCCCAUUUUUCCCCAUUUUUUUCCCAUUUUUCCCCAUUUUUUCCCAUUUUUUCCCAUUUUUCCCCAGUUUUUUCCCAUUUUUCCCCAUUUUUUCCCCAUUUUUUCCCAUUUUUUCCCCUUUUUUAUCUUUUUUCCCAGUUUUUCCCCUUUUAUCUUUUUUUCCCAUUUUUCCCCAUUUUUUUCCCACUUUUUUUUUUACCCAUUUUUUCCCGUCUUUUCCCUGAUUUUCUCCCUUUUCUUUCCCCUUUUUUUUCCCCUUUUUUUCCCUUUUCUCCCUCAGUUUUUUCCCAUUUUUUCCCCCAUUUUUUCCCCUUUCUUUUCCCCAGUUUUUCCCCUUUUUUUCCCAUUAUUUCUCCCUUUUCCCCCUUUGUUUUCCCCAUUUUUUCCCAUUUUUUUUCCCCAUUUUUCCCCUUUAUUUUCUCCAUUUUUUCCCCUUCUUGAUCUUUUUCCCCACAGUUUUUCCCCUUUUAUCUUUUUUCCCUUUUUCCUCCUUUUUUCCUCCUAUUUUUCCCCAUUUUUUCCCCUUCUUUUCCCUGAUUUUCCCCCAUUUUUUCCCCUUUUUUUUUCCCUUUUUUCCCUUUUCUCCCUCAGUUUUUUCCCAUUUUUUACCCCAUUUUUUUCCCUUUCUUUUCCCCAGAUUUUUCCCAUUUUUUCCCCUUUUUUUCCCAUUUUUUUCCCAUUUUUUUCCCUUUUUUUCCCAUUUUUUCCCCCAUUUUUUCCCCUUUGUUUUCCCCAUUUUUUCACAUUUUUUUCUCCCUUUUCCCCCCAUUUUUCCCUUUCUUUUCCCCAUUUUUCCCCAUUUUUUCCCCAUUUUUCCCCUUCUUUUCCCCAUUUUUCCCCUUCUUUUCCCCAUUUUUCCCCCAUUUUUUCCCCAUUUUUUUCCCAUUUUUUCUCCCUUUUCCCCCCAUUUUUCCCCUUCUUUUCCCCAUUUUUUCCCCUUCUUUUCCCCAUUUUUUCCCCAGUUUUCCCCAUUUUUUUCUCCCUUUUCCCCCCAUUUUUCCCCUUCUUUUCCCCAUUUUUCCCCCUUUUUUUCCCCAUUUUUUCCCCAUUUUUUCCCAUUUUUUUCCCCAUUUUUUCCCAUUUUUUUCUCCCUUUUCCCCCCAUUUUUCCCCUUUUUUUCCCCAUUUUUUCCCCAUUUUUUCCCAUUUUUUCCCAUUUUUUCCCUUUUUUUUCCCUUUUUUUCCCCAUUUUCCUCCCAUUUUUUCUCCAUUUUUGCCUCCUUUCUUUUCCCCAUUUUUUCCCCAUUUUUCCCCCCUUUUUUCCCCAUUUUCCCCAUUUUUCCCCAUUUUUCCCCUUAUUUUCCCCAUUUUUCCCCUUAUUUUCCCCAUUUUUUCCCCCAUUUUUUCCCAUUUUUUUCCCACUUUUCCCCCCAUUUUUCCCCUUUUUUUCCCCAUUUUUUCCCCAUUUUUUCCCAUUUUUUCCCAUUUUUUUCCCUUUUUUUUCCCUUUUUUUCCCCAUUUUCCUCCCAUUUUUUCUCCAUUUUUGCCUCCUUUCUUUUCCCCAUUUUUUCCCCAUUUUUCCCCCCUUUUUUCCCCAUUUUCCCCUUUUUUUCCCCAUUUUUCCCCAUUUUUCCCCUUAUUUUCCCCAUUUUUUUCCCAUUUUUCCCCUUUUUUUCCCCAUUUUUUCCCAUUUUUUUCUCCCUUUUCCCCCCAUUUUUCCCCUUUUUUUCCCCAUUUUUUCCCCAUUUUUUCCCAUUUUUUCCCAUUUUUUUCCCUUUUUUUUCCCUUUUUUUCCCCAUUUUCCUCCCAUUUUUUCUCCAUUUUUGCCUCCUUUCUUUUCCCCAUUUUUUCCCCAUUUUUCCCCC